Molecule: ribosomal RNA, 247 nt
Filed under: uncultured bacterium
Lineage: Bacteria
Description: partial 16S ribosomal RNA
Rfam family: Bacterial small subunit ribosomal RNA
Source: RNAcentral
AUACGAAGGGGGCUAGCGUUGCUCGGAAUGACUGGGCGUAAAGGGCGUGUAGGCGGUUUGUACAGUCAGAUGUGAAAUCCCCGGGCUUAACCUGGGAGCUGCAUUUGAGACGUGCAGACUAGAGUGUGAGAGAGGGUUGUGGAAUUCCCAGUGUAGAGGUGAAAUUCGUAGAUAUUGGGAAGAACACCGGUGGCGAAGGCGGCAACCUGGCUCAUUACUGACGCUGAGGCGCGAAAGUAUGGGUAGC